Molecule: long non-coding RNA, 670 nt
Filed under: Rattus norvegicus (Norway rat)
Lineage: Eukaryota; Metazoa; Chordata; Mammalia; Rodentia; Muridae
Description: long non-coding RNA NONRATT018689
Source: RNAcentral
GACGAACCCGGUGCUCCAGGCGAUGAGGAGGGGCGGGGCGGGAGCAGGAGACCUGAGUUUCUCCAAGGGUGGCCCGAUCCCAGAUCUCUGGGUCCACGGAAGACUCCCCGUGGACGCAAAGGAAGGGACUCCACCAGGGCGCCAGCGCGCCUGCUUGCAGGUCCAGGUCUUGGGAGAGCAGGGGACAGCGGGAGAUGGGCUAGCUCGGGGCGCCCAGCGGCAGGUGCGGAGCGCUAGCCCUGGCUUCCUCUCACCUAAGUGUGAGCUGAUUAUUCAAAUGGGCUGCCCGGGGUCUGGGGAUUGGAGGCCCGCGCCAGCGCACCGCGCUAUAUCACCAGCCGCUCACGUCAUUGCGGCACUUGUCCGCUGCGAGGUCCACACCUCCUCCUCCUCCUCCUCCUCCUCCCCCUCCUCUCGCUCUCCCCCCGCCCGCCCCCGCGCCGCUAGCUUCCCGCCGCCUCCCGGCACCUCUACACUGCCAGCCUCAGCCUGCACCGGCAGCCCCGGGAGCGCGGAGACGGAGUGCACGCCCGACGGCGAGCCUCGGGUUCCGGCCUCCAGGGUUCUUCGGCCCCCUCCUCCGCCAGCCACCUUCCCGCCCACUCCCAGCUACCUCCCGCGGCAGGCCGCGGGAGAGAGAGGAAGUGGAGCCCAGAGAGGCAGAGAGGGG